This 253-nucleotide ribosomal RNA is filed under the name uncultured bacterium. Its description in RNAcentral is "partial 16S ribosomal RNA". It matches the Rfam family "Bacterial small subunit ribosomal RNA", at positions 524 to 776 of the family's 1533-position model. The record is from RNAcentral.
UACGUAGGGCGCAAGCGUUGUCCGGAAUUAUUGGGCGUAAAGAGCUCGUAGGCGGUUUGUUACGUCCGCUGUGAAAACCCAGGGCUUAACCCUGGGCUUGCAGUGGAUACGGGCAGACUAGAGGUAGGCAGGGGAGAAUGGAAUUCCCGGUGUAGCGGUGAAAUGCGCAGAUAUCGGGAGGAACACCGGUGGCGAAGGCGGUUCUCUGGACCGAGACUGACGCUGAGGCGCGAAAGCGUGGGGAGCAAACAGG